This 378-nucleotide unclassified non-coding RNA is filed under the name plant metagenome. RNAcentral's name for it is "partial contains 5.8S ribosomal RNA, internal transcribed spacer 2, and large subunit ribosomal RNA". The stretch from base 1 to 105 matches the Rfam family "5.8S ribosomal RNA", at positions 50 to 154 of the family's 154-position model. The record is from RNAcentral.
GAAAUGCGAUAAGUAAUGUGAAUUGCAGAAUUCAGUGAAUCAUCGAAUCUUUGAACGCACCUUGCGCUCCUUGGUAUUCCUUGGAGCAUGCCUGUUUGAGUAUCAUGAAAUCUUCAAAGUAAAUCUUUUGUUAACUCAAUUGGUUUCUACUUUGGUAUUGGAGGUCUUUGCAGCUUCACACCUGCUCCUCUUUGUUCAUUAGCUGGAUCUCAGUGUUAUGCUUGGUUCCACUCGGCGUGAUAAGUUAUCUAUCGCUGAGGACACUGUAAAAGGUGGCCAAGGUAAAUGCAGAUGAACCGCUUCUAAUAGUCCAUUGACUUGGACAAUACUAUUAUGAUCUGAUCUCAAAUCAGGUAGGACUACCCGCUGACCUUAAGC